Molecule: ribosomal RNA, 446 nt
Filed under: uncultured bacterium
Lineage: Bacteria
Description: partial 16S ribosomal RNA
Rfam family: Bacterial small subunit ribosomal RNA
Source: RNAcentral
GUAAGGAAUAUUGGUCAAUGGGGGCAACCCUGAACCAGCCAUGCCGCGUGAAGGAUGAAGGCGUUAUGCGUUGUAAACUUCUUUUGUAUGGGAAGAAUGACAGGGAUUCAUCCUUGGAGAGACGGUACCAUACGAAUAAGCACCGGCAAACUCCGUGCCAGCAGCCGCGGUAAUACGGAGGGUGCAAGCGUUAUCCGGAAUCACUGGGUUUAAAGGGGACGUAGGCGGUUAAUUAAGUCAGUAGUGAAAGACUGUCGCUCAACGACGGAUGUGCUAUUGAUACUGGUUAACUUGAAUCAGGUUAGAGUUGGCGGAAUGGGUAAUGUAGCGGUGAAAUGCUUAGAUAUGACUUGGAACACCGAUAGCGAAGGCAGCUGACUGAGCCUUGACUGACGCUGAGGUACGAAAGUGUGGGUAGCGAACAGGAUUAGAUACCCCGGUAGUCC